This 467-nucleotide ribosomal RNA is filed under the name uncultured bacterium. RNAcentral's name for it is "partial 16S ribosomal RNA". It matches the Rfam family "Bacterial small subunit ribosomal RNA", at positions 29 to 507 of the family's 1533-position model. The record is from RNAcentral.
ACGAACGCUGGCGGCGUGCUUAACACAUGCAAGUCGAACGGAAAGGCCCUGCUUUUGUGGGGUGCUCGAGUGGCGAACGGGGGAGUAACACGGGAGUAACCUGCCCUUGACUUUGGGAUAACUUCAGGAAACUGGGGCUAAUACCGGAUAGGAGCUCCUGCUGCAUGGUGGGGGUUGGAAAGUUUCGGCGGUUGGGGAUGGACUCGCGGCUUAUCAGCUUGUUGGUGGGGUAGUGGCUUACCAAGGCUUUGACGGGUAGCCGGCCUGAGAGGGUGACCGGCCACAUUGGGACUGAGAUACGGCCCAGACUCCUACGGGAGGCAGCAGUGGGGAAUAUUGCACAAUGGGCGGAAGCCUGAUGCAGCAACGCCGCGUGCGGGAUGACGGCCUUCGGGUUGUAAACCGCUUUCGCCUGUGACGAAGCGUGAGUGACGGUAAUGGGUAAAGAAGCACCGGCUAACUACGUG